Long non-coding RNA from Bombus impatiens (common eastern bumble bee), 1112 nucleotides. RefSeq lists it as uncharacterized. Lineage: Eukaryota; Metazoa; Arthropoda; Insecta; Hymenoptera; Apidae. The transcript has 3 exons. The record is from RefSeq and is a predicted model, not a curated record.
UUUUUUUUUUUUUCUUUCUUCGACAGGGAAGUAACAGUUUCGUUUAACAGGUUGAUUGCCACGAUCACCUAUUCGUUAUCGGAUUCGCUAUCGGCGAUCCACGCUAUUACAUUUUUGAGAAUAAUUUAAUGUAAGAUAAAUUUCAUGGACUAAAGGACCGUCAACAAUGUGAACGAUUUAUAUUACAUGGAGAGAGAAAAGUGUGCAAAUGUAAUACGAUAUUUUCCAAUAAUUAAACAUAACAACGUAUUUCGAUCUAUUGCGGUUUCCACGGAAUGUUAUAUAAACAGAAAUCCGUAUCAUUCGUAGCCUAGUCAUCGUCGGUUAUCGACGUCGAUCGUCUUGUCAUUGACAUUUUUCCCGCCGACAGUCCUAACAUUGCGCAACCAGAGGGCGAGAAACGAUUCACGUCGACGCUGAACCGUCGUGACUCGUCCAGUUGCCUACAGUCAUCGAUCCCCAGCAGCUUAUGCACCCGGAAACCGUGCCACAAUUCCACGAGAUAAUUCGAUUCGCGGCCGAAGGAAAUCGGGACGACGACUGGAAUCGUCCUCUCUGUAAUCACGUCGGCGUAAUCGCUUUGGAUGAGCCGGGGAUUGGCAAAGCGAUGAAAAUUUUUUCUCGUUCCCGGCGAAUUAAUUUCGCCCUGUUCAAAGGGUUAACCGGACCGUGGCCACGGAAAUAAUCUACCGCACCUUAGCGUUGCUCCUACACAUUCUCUUGCUUCUCUGACGUAAGAAUCGAGCAACACAAUAGAAACGAGAGAGAGAGAGAGAGAGAGAGAGAGAGAGAGAGAGAGAGAGAGAGAGAGAGAGAGAGAGAGAGAGAGAGACAGAAGAAGAAGAAGAAGAAUCGACGCGAAGCCGUGCUGGUGAAAUGAUUAUGCCCUGAGAAAAACGACGUCAGGAAGACGGCAACAUGUUCAAUCUUUCAAGCAGAGCGUAGAAAAUGUAAAUUAUCAGUUUAUUUAUUUUUUGUCAAAAUAUAUUUACUUUCAAUAUCUGAUUUUAUUUGCAACGUUUUAUCAUAUCAUUACUAUCCUGUGAAAUAAGAACAGACAAAGCGCGUUUUCUUCUUUCGUAGAGGAAUUUCUAUUCCAACUUAAUUUUACA